RNAcentral lists this long non-coding RNA (1184 nucleotides) under Nicotiana benthamiana. Its description in RNAcentral is "long non-coding RNA (NBEN_LNC038851)". Lineage: Eukaryota; Viridiplantae; Streptophyta; Magnoliopsida; Solanales; Solanaceae. The record is from RNAcentral.
UAAAUAGUGAAGGAUUAGGGGGAAAUUGGGUAGUUUAGCUAGAGAAUCUUUCUAUAACAGAAAUGGGAAGCUUCUUAGAAGCUGACUUUGGGGCUAAAAUAAAAUUGGAUUUGUGAACUGAGAAUUUUUAAGCAAAAACGAAAAUUGGAGAGGGGUUAAAGAGCAAAAUUUGAAACCUAUUUCUGUUGCCCUAACACUCAUGUAUAAAAGGAUCAUUUGCUGAAUGUUUUUGGGAGAUCAGGCCUUAGAUUUUAGAGAUAAAAAAUUUAGAAAAACUGAGGCAGCUGAGAUUUCAAAGGGCGUCUGUUUCAUCAAAUCUUCAAGAAUUUUGGUUUUCUUUCUCGGCUCCUGAAACCAUUUUCAAUUUAUCUGAGUGAGAAGUGAUUUAAAUUUGGUGAUCAAAGUCUUGGUUAGGGUCCUGCUGGGCUGUUGGUUUGGUUCGAGCUUGAUAAGCUGAAUGACUAUCUGUCAUCCUAGGUUUUGAGGUGUUUUUGGUUGUUUGAGUGCUGAUUUCUGCUCCUGAAUCUGCUGCUACUUCUAUGCACUACUGACUCUCACCCUUUCCUUUACUUUGCUUUCCAAUGUACAUACUUAGAACCCCAAUGUGUAAUCAAGUUUGAAGAUGGAAUGAAGUUAUUUUUGUAUGCGACACUAGUUUUGUUUUACAAAAUGAUCCCGUCCUCGUUCCUGUUUGCUUAGACUAAUGAUGUGAUGAUUCCCUUCUUAAAGUAGUUAAGGAUCAAGAUGUAGAUAAUCAUGGACUCUAAACUUUAACUUGGGUGCAUUUUGUGUUUUUGUUUAUUAUUAGUGGUAUAGAUGUCAAUUCUGAAGUCCAUGUGGGCCGAUUGUAGAAACAAUAUAUGGAAUCCUCAAGUUUGUUUAUCAUGUAUACUUGGACAUUUAGAGGUUGGUUUGUAACCAUUGCUUGAAAUGAUUUGUAUGUUAGCUCUCAAUUCACCCUCUCCUUGAUCCCCUCAAGUGUUGAAUGUCCAAGUGCACUAAAUAGUUAUAUAGUCAUUAACUCUAGUAGUAUGGCUUAAUUUGCAAUCCAUUUAGUUGAAAGUAGUAUUUAAGUCGAGAAUUAUCUAGUUCUAUCACUGAUCCAGUGUGUGUGAAUUGGAUACUUCUUUAAUAGUUGGGCCGAGCUGUAAUAAUUGAGUUUCAGUUGUUCAUGAAGCAUGGAA